Molecule: transfer RNA, 76 nt
Filed under: Bacteroidota bacterium
Lineage: Bacteria; Pseudomonadati; Bacteroidota
Description: Bacteroidetes bacterium (freshwater metagenome) tRNA-Ile
Rfam family: tRNA
About the family: Transfer RNA (tRNA) molecules are approximately 80 nucleotides in length. Their secondary structure includes four short double-helical elements and three loops (D, anti-codon, and T loops).
Source: RNAcentral
GCGCCCGUAACUCAACGGUUAGAGUUCUCGUCUUAUAAGCGAGCGGUUGUUGGUUCGAUUCCAACCGGGCGCACCA